This 243-nucleotide long non-coding RNA is filed under the name Amborella trichopoda. RNAcentral's name for it is "long non-coding RNA (ATRI_LNC000984)". The record is from RNAcentral. Lineage: Eukaryota; Viridiplantae; Streptophyta; Magnoliopsida; Amborellales; Amborellaceae.
UCUAAUUUCGUGUCUAUCCGACUUAUGGAUCUCGAGUUAUGGUUUCAUGAAAUAUGGGACAUCUUCUUAGUAAAAUUCUAAUUUUUAUGGUUUCGUGCUCUUCUCUCCAUAAAAUCUUUCGUCUCGAACUACACCGCGAUGCGUGCCAUAUGUCAAAAUGACUUGGUCGUCGAGACCUAGCUUGCAUCCAAAUUUGAACUUGUUCCCAUUCCAACCAGGCGACCUGUGGGCGUUUGAAGAUCA